This 5554-nucleotide long non-coding RNA is filed under the name Setaria viridis. RNAcentral's name for it is "long non-coding RNA (SVIR_LNC000068)". The record is from RNAcentral. Lineage: Eukaryota; Viridiplantae; Streptophyta; Magnoliopsida; Poales; Poaceae.
CUUCCAGCACAACCAUCCUCCGUCGCCGUCACCCCCGCUUCCAGCACAACCAUCCUCCGUCGCUAUAAGAGGGGAGAGGGGGGUUGAAGCUCCGCUCCUACCCAGCUCCGCUCAAGCGGAUCUUCUCCGGAAGCCGUCUUUGACUUCUCCCCAUCCACUAUCUCCCAACCUUGGAGAGGACUUGAAGCUGCUCCCCUGCUCUACUGUAUAUAAAGCUACCAUUGUCCAGCGGAGGUAAGUCCUGGUCGCUGUCGCUGUGCCUUCACACCCUUAUUAGUUAUUAUUAUUACCAGUGUGGAGAAGCUAAUCCUCCGUGGCUGGGACGAGGAGAUGCGAUUAAACCCGUGUCUUGUUGAUUUUGCUGCCUGAUAGAAAUUCACCUGAAUGCCCGGGGUUGCUCAUGGUAUUGGUUCGGUUCAUCGUUGCUCAGAGAUCCAUUCCCCCGUUUCUUGGUUUCAUCUUUUCCUGCCACUGACCAGUGAUUCGUUAUCUGAAAACUUCUCAUGCACUAGUGCUCUCUUGGGUGUAUCUGGCUUAGAUCUGUGCACAAAUACUUGCUCCUUUUCUUUGGGCCUUGAUCUCCACAGGCUUCGCCGGUCGGGCUUCCUUGACCGAUUGGCUCCUUUUGCUGAGCUGACCCUUCGUACCUUACUAUCUUGGAUCCAGUGUCCCCUGUGUAACGAAUUAACGAUAACCACGGUAUAAGGGUCACAAGCUCUAUAGGACAAUUUUGUCGUAUCGUUUGAGGAUCUUCUUAGUGAGAAGCUAAAGGUCCCAAAGACUGGUCUGACGAAAAUGAAGACAUCAUCAGUAUAUGGAGGAACCUGAUAGGCUACCCCUCUUGUUAUUACCUGCGUGUUGACCACGUCAACAAGACCAUAACAAUGAAGGAUAACAUCGGGGAGAGAGGGGAUGUGCAAUUGCCUCACUGGACUGACUAUUCAACGAUACUCAAGAGUGUUUUUGAGGACAUCUGAACUGAACCUUCCUGACUCUACAGGCCAGAACCAUAGCAUAAUACCUGUCCGCGUCGCUCUCCUCGGCGACACGGACGGACCCUGACACCAAGCGUCGCUGCCCCCUCCCCCUCCUCCCUCACGCCUCGCCGCCGCCGGAGCUGCUCGCCGGAAGCCCGUGCGGCGGCGGGGCCAAAUCGCCCGCUCAAGGGCGCAUACGGCCGGAUCUGGACGGCGACCGACACAAGCGGAAGGUAGCAGCGAUGGCCGGCGAGCUUCGCAUGUGGAGGCCUCUCUACUACCGCACAUGGAGAUGGAGCAGGGCGAGGCAGCCCGGCAGCAGCUACGUGGAGGCGUGGCGCGUGGGAGUGCGUCGCGUGGAUCAGUGGUAGCGGCGCAUGGAGGUGGCGGUUGCGCUGCCGGACGACACACCGGAACUCACGUGCAGGGGCGGCGAGUGCGUGUGCGGCUAGGUGGAGUGGAGGCCGUGACCGGCGCGGCUCACUUCGCGGCACCAGAUCAAUGGUACCGCCGGGAUGGUUUUGGCGGCGGCUGCGACCCGGACAGCAGAUUCGGUGCCCUGGAGGCUACAUCUAGCGAGUGCGCAUGCGCAGAGUCAAGAAAGUGGCAACUGUGGAGUCAAUGAGGUGGCGGCGGCGAUGGCCGUGAGUGGAUGCGUCGGAAGGCGGCCAGCGGUGCGGCGGUCGUUCGUGCAAGUGCGUCUGCGGGUUUGGCGCAGCGCGAGGAGGCCGUAGUGGCACCAAGCGCGGAGCGGUGCCAACAAGGAUGUGCGCUCGAAGGCCACGAGGCGAGGCCAUGGCCGCGUGGUGCCGUGGCGAUGCGAGGUGUGCGGUGUGCCCGGUGUGGGUCUUGACAACAACCCGCGACGAGGAGGAUCUACGCUGGUGGUGGAGUGGUGUUGCUGUCGGCGUUCGACUAUGUGUUAGGUGGGUUGUGUGUAAACGCUAGCGACGACUUUGGGCGCCGUUCCCCUCCUUGGAGGCGUUGUCUUUGUGUUUUUGCACACCCCCUCCUUUGGUCGACGUUUGAUACAUAUCGCCAAGGUGAUGCUCCGAAAGCUUUAUGUCUGCGCACGUGGUGCAGCUGAGAUUCUGACGGUGUCAAGGUGGAGGUGAAGUUAGUGGAGUAGCUCGGUGGUACCAUGUCACUCCCGGCGGCAAAGCAAGUCUAAAUCCUUGGCAUGGAGUCCAGCGGCGGAAGUGGUGAGACCCCGUUCGCUUUAAGGUGAUGUGACCAAGGAGUGCUGUGCGGCGGUGGAUGUGGCGAGGGCCCCACACGUUCGAGUUGCCUUGGAGGGCUAGGACCUGAUGUGGUGUUUUGGUCGUUUGGUGUGUAUGGUGCUGCAGCGGUGCUUUUGGCGUUGGGUCUUGCAUAGCAGUGGCCUUUUCGGUGUGGUGCAGUGUGCUCUUCUUUUGACUUUUGUCGACACAAGGCUAAGGAUUGGGAGAUCGGCGACUAUGUGUGCGUGACCUGAGGACGACGGCGGCAUGGUGGAGGAGUAGUGGUAGCUGCACGGCUUGCAGCGGACUGCAGUGGCCAGUCCUGCGUGGCAGCGGUUGGUUCGACGUGGGACAUCGUCGGGGACAACAGCUGGUGAUGAUGGCUACUUGUCGGCUUUUUCUCCCGGGUUGUGGUGGUGCGGCGUAGUGGUCAGUGCUUGUCGAUGUCUCAAUCCGACCGGUCACAGAGCUUGUUUUGUUUUGAAUUGAGUUGAGUUCGGCGCAAUCUGUUGGGAGUUACCAUUGUUACUUUGUUGUACCCAAUCUAGGCUCAUUCUUCUUCUUAAUAUAAUCGGCAGCUCUCCUGCCUGGUUCGUUUAAAUAAAAAGUGUUUUUGAGGUACUCCUAGAUAGAAGGAUGCACAAGAGGCUGCACCAACGCCUACCAAAGCCGAUCAAGGUGAGAAAGACCACACGAUAGGGAGUCGAAUCUUUGGAGGCAUCCAGCUUGAUGAACCAUCUUGGCUCUUUUCUGUUAGGCAGGAGUUUCUGCUUGGCAGUCUGCUGCAGCAAGAGGAAGUUGUUGUGGAUUGGUGGAUGCAGUGGAACUCUGUUUGGAUAUGAUCUCAUAAGGUGGUGUUUGGGUUGUUUAUAGGGAUAUAAGCUUUGGGUUUACUCGACUUGGUUUCUGAUAGGUCUGUGCGAUCACAGGUAGCUGGUGCCAAAGAGGCAAACAUAGCACUGUGCAACAUCUCUUAGAAGUAGUUUGGAUGGAUAGUGCGACCAAGUACUGCUGUCCAUGCUAAUUGACGAAGUACCACCAAAUCUUGUUUUCAAAAAUAAUUUAUGAAGAUCAUGCCAGCCUUAUUUUUGUUGUGGACUCUUUUUACCACAAGUACUCGUAUAGCAGACGGAGGCCAAAGGAGUCCACAACGGCGCCGUCUACAAGUGGUUGAUUCGCCGCGCAACAGGAGGAGGAUUAGUUUGUUAGGAUUUGUUAUUUGGUUGUCAAUGGCCUGAUAUAUAAAGGUCUUAGCAGAUUGUUUAGGAAAUCAUCGAAGGAAUAAACUCUCUCCCGUUUGGGGCGUGAGUUGUUCUUCGACGGUAGAACGUACCUUUCCUCGGCUGCCGGCGACAACAGCUCGCCGCUGCAUUAUUUGCUUCGCUCAACCACCCAAGCUCAUCUCUUUCUGCGUUCUCCUCACCGACGCCAACGCCAUAUCAAUUUUACACAAUGUUUCAAACAUAUAAAUUAUCAUCAGGGAGGAAGAUCCUCAUUGGACCAUAUUUGGGAUUUAGUAGUGUAGCUGUACUGCUGUAGUCGCAACUUGCAAGUCCAAACACACUUCAAAAAUGAACAAAGUUGAAUUUCUAAGGGAAGAGGUUAUCCAUCAGCAUUAGUGAUUCUAUCCACUAUCCAUUAUUUCCAAUGUUGUGACCAAGCUGAAUAAAAAUUCUCAACAAAUUAUUUUGCUUUCCAGAUCAUUACAUAUCAUACUCAUCCAAACUAAUGUCUGCAUUUCAGAUUUUUCUGAAGAACACCUUGUCACCGGCAAUCUGCGCUGUCUGUUAUGGUCGACGGAAGUAUCUAGGUAUUGCUCACCACCACCACUAAUAACUCCUCAGAGAAGCGGCUAGUAUGACUUCAAAACAGCUGAAGGACAUGGAUGAAGCCCUGCUCGAACAGCAUGAAACCCGGCCAGCACCGAAGGACCGUGAAAGCCAUGGCCCCUCAUUGCUUACUUUGACUGGCUUUGGAUUCCUGACUUUCAACUCGGGAAUGGCGGUUUACAGGUCGAAUGGAGACUUGUCAGCGAUCUCUUUUGUGGGCUUUUCCUACCUGGUCCUCGUUAUGCUCUUCUACUGCGUGCGUUGCUAUGAGAGGACACCCGCAGAGUCACCCCGUCGGGAACAACUGAAGAUGGCAGUGUGGCUUCUCACCACAAUGCUCACUGCUGCUUUCUCAUACAAGGUGGCUGCAAUCAUGCCGUUCCCAUUGCAGGUACUAGUGUGGGCCAUGGCUGGCGCGACCAUCCUUGGUGGUUUCUAUGCCUUCUUCCUGCAUGAGGAGGGCACAAAGGCAUAAUCAGGUAUAACUAUAAUUGAUCCCUUGCUUUGAUUCUUCUGUCAAAAGAAAUUAACCAUGCAUCAUUUUUUCAACCUAGAAUCUUCCGACUUCUUAUUCUCUCUAUAUAAAACCGCACUCCACCAUGAGGUACCGUGGUGUGCCGAGAUUUCAGCCAGACUGUGCAAUGCCGCUAUCUGCACGGAUAGGGUUGGUCAGUUGAAUCCAUACAAAGAUUAGAUUUUAGUUGCAGCAAAGGCACACCAGCACAUUUAUGGGGAAUGAAAGGUCAAGCUGGUCAUGAUCAUUGCAAUCUAUGAAUUGGGCAUGGAUCCGCUCACCUGCCUCCAGAUCUAGGGAAGUAUUCAUGGCUGCAUGAGAUGUGGAUCAGCAUCUGUGAAAGGUGAACGGUAGGAAUUGCACCCGAGAUCAGUUGUUCCACCUGCUACAACGAAUCACUGUACUCAGACUGAUGGGCAUUACACAAUAAAAAAUGAGAGGGAAUGAAGCAUAAAGCACGUAUUACAUUGCAGGAUUGGACCAUAUAUACUGUAUUCCAAUCGAUUCAGGAUUGGACCCAGUAAGCAAAGAUUUUGGCAUGAUCUGUCUCCAUGACACUAGUCUUACAUUGCAGUAUUGCACCACUAAAUUUCACCUCGACAACUGCCUCGACUGAAGAAGCAUCAAUUGUGCAAACGCCUAAUUCCAUUACUAGGGGUAUAUGGUGAACAAUACUGUGGUCAGGCAAUCAGCCUCGCAGCCAGAGCCCAAUCAACUAAAAUCGAGACAAUGACAGGACUUGACAUGUAACAAUGUUUGAAACAUGAUUAGGUCCAUGCCCUGUUUGGAACACCUGAACUUCGCAUAGGAUUUCUGCGGGAAUCAUAAGUGAAAUUGUUAUUUUCCAAGUGCUGCCUCGUCGCUGCAUUUUUGUGCUCCAGUCUUUUCCCACGUCACUUGCACAAAUUGCAUUGGCAUCCACACUGCAGCUGCAGAUUACUCCUACCCCCUGCUCAUAUUUUGGAAGAAAAUGCAUGUUUCUGAUCAGCAGGCUAACUCUUAACUCUGGUUCAC